Molecule: ribosomal RNA, 547 nt
Filed under: uncultured bacterium
Lineage: Bacteria
Description: bacterial SSU rRNA
Rfam family: Bacterial small subunit ribosomal RNA
Source: RNAcentral
AAUAGAUACCCCGGUAGUCCGCGCCGUAAACGUUGGAUACUAGGUGUGGCGGUCUUACCAACGACUGCCGUGCCGAAGCUAACGCAUUAAGUAUCCCACCUGGGGGAGUACGGCCGCAAGGCUAAAACUCAAAGGAAUUGACGGGUCCCCGCACAAGCGGCGGAGCAUGCGGCUUAAUUCGAUGCAACCCGAAGAACCUUACCUGGGUUUUGACAUCACGGGAAAAGCUGUAGAAAUACAGUGUCCGUAAGGGCCCGUGACAGGUGGUGCAUGGCUGUCGUCAGCUCGUGUCGUGAGAUGUUGGGUUAAGUCCCGCAACGAGCGCAACCCUUGUCCUAUGUUGCCAGCGGUUCGGCCGGGGGACUCAUAGGAGACUGCCGGGGGAUAACUCGGAGGAAGGUGAGGACGACGUCAAGUCAUCAUGCCCCCUUAUAUCCAGGGCUGCACGCAUGCUACAAUGGCCGGUACAACGGGCAGCGACCCCGCGAGGGUGAGCGAAUCCUAAAAGCCGGUCCUAGUUCGGAUUGAAGUCUGCAACUCGACUUCA